AGAACGAACGCUGGCGGCAUGCCUAAUACAUGCAAGUCGAACGAGAUCUUCGGAUCUAGUGGCGCACGGGUGCGUAACGCGUGGGAAUCUACCCUUGGGUUCGGAAUAACAGUUGGAAACGACUGCUAAUACCGGAUGAUGACGAAAGUCCAAAGAUUUAUCGCCCAGGGAUGAGCCCGCGUAGGAUUAGCUAGUUGGUGAGGUAAAGGCUCACCAAGGCUACGAUCCUUAGCUGGUCUGAGAGGAUGAUCAGCCACACUGGGACUGAGACACGGCCCAGACUCCUACGGGAGGCAGCAGUAGGGAAUAUUGGACAAUGGGGGGCAACCCUGAUCCAGCAAUGCGCGUGAGUGAUGAAGGCCUUAGGGUUGUAAAGCUCUUUUACCCGAGAUGAUAAUGACAGUAUCGGGAGAAUAAGCUCCGGCUAACUCCGUGCCAGCAGCCGC
RNAcentral lists this ribosomal RNA (446 nucleotides) under uncultured soil bacterium. RNAcentral describes it as "bacterial SSU rRNA". It matches the Rfam family "Bacterial small subunit ribosomal RNA", at positions 26 to 518 of the family's 1533-position model. The record is from RNAcentral.